CCUGCAGCAGUGUUUCCCUGGGUUCCUGUGGUGGGGGUGGGGGCUGUCCUGACUGCUGGAGCUCUGCUACUCACCAUCUACUGCACUCUGAAGAGGAGAUCCACAGGAGGAAGUGAUGCCACAGCAGACACACAGAAUGUGAGAGACGCUCCCAGUGACACAGCCCCUCAGAUAGAUGCUGAGCCCUCCGAUUAUGAGAACUGGAGCGAACCACCACAGAACCUGGACAGUGACACAGCCCCUCAGAUAGAUGCUGAGCCCUCC
Molecule: long non-coding RNA, 264 nt
Organism: Oncorhynchus keta (chum salmon)
Lineage: Eukaryota; Metazoa; Chordata; Actinopteri; Salmoniformes; Salmonidae
Exons: 3
Source: RefSeq, a predicted model, not a curated record